UACGUAGGGGGCUAGCGUUGCUCGGAAUCACUGGGCGUAAAGGGUGCGUAGGCGGGCCUUUAAGUCAGGGGGGAAAUCCUGGAGCUCAACUCCAGAACUGCCUUUGAUACUGAGGAUCUUGAGUACGGGAGAGGUGAGUGGAACUGCGAGUGUAGAGGUGAAAUUCGUAGAUAUUCGCAAGAACACCAGUGGCGAAGGCGGCUCACUGGCCCGUAACUGACGCUGAGGCACGAAAGCGUGGGGAGCAAACAGG
Molecule: ribosomal RNA, 253 nt
Filed under: uncultured bacterium
Lineage: Bacteria
Description: partial 16S ribosomal RNA
Rfam family: Bacterial small subunit ribosomal RNA
Source: RNAcentral